UGAUUGAUGGUGCUUGCACCUGAUUGAUUCUUGGUCGCCAACGAGUGGCGGACGGGUGAGUAACACGUAGGUAACCUGCCCAGAAGCGGGGGACAACAUUUGGAAACAGAUGCUAAUACCGUCAUAACAACGUUGUUCGCAUGAACAACGCUUAAAAGAUGGCUUCUCGCUAUCACUUCUGGAUGGACCUGCGGUGCAUUAUCUUGUUGGUGGGGGUAACGGCCUACCAAGGCGAUGAUGCAUAGCCGAGUUGAGAGACUGAUCGGCCACAAUGGGACUGAGAACCGGCCCAUACUCCUACGGAAAGGCAGCAGUAGGCGAAUCUUCCACAAGGGCGCAAGCCCUGAUGGAGCAAGCACCGCGUGAGUGAAGAAGGUUUCGGCUCGUAAAGCUCUGUUGUUAAAGAAGAACGACGUAUGAGAGUAACUGUUCAUACGUUGACGGUAUUUAACCAGAAAGUCACGGCUAACUACGUGCCAGCAGCCGCGGUAAUACGUAGGUGGCAAGCGUUAUCCGGAUAUAUUGGGCGUAAAGAGAGUGCA
This 542-nucleotide ribosomal RNA is filed under the name Limosilactobacillus fermentum. Its description in RNAcentral is "bacterial SSU rRNA". It matches the Rfam family "Bacterial small subunit ribosomal RNA", at positions 43 to 573 of the family's 1533-position model. Lineage: Bacteria; Bacillati; Bacillota; Bacilli; Lactobacillales; Lactobacillaceae. The record is from RNAcentral.